This 496-nucleotide ribosomal RNA is filed under the name uncultured bacterium. RNAcentral's name for it is "partial 16S ribosomal RNA". It matches the Rfam family "Bacterial small subunit ribosomal RNA", at positions 29 to 507 of the family's 1533-position model. The record is from RNAcentral.
AUGAACGCUGGCGGCGUGCCUAAUACCUGCAAGUCGAGCGAACGGACGAGAAGCUUGCUUCUCUGAUGUUAGCGGCGGACGGGUGAGUAACACGUGGAUAACCUACCUAUAAGACUGGGAUAACUUCGGGAAACCGGAGCUAAUACCGGAUGAUAUUUUGAACCGCAUGGUUCAAAAGUGAAAGACGGUCUUGCUGUCACUUAUAGAUGGAUCCGCGCUGCAUUAGCUAGUUGGUAAGGUAACGGCUUACCAAGGCAACGAUGCAUAGCCGACCUGAGAGGGUGAUCGGCCACACUGGAACUGAGACACGGUCCAGACUCCUACGGGAGGCAGCAGUAGGGAAUCUUCCGCAAUGGGCGAAAGCCUUACGGAGCAACGCCGCGUGAGUGAUGAAGGUCUUCGGAUCGUAAAACUCUGUUAUUAGGGAAGAACAUAUGUGUAAGUAACUGUGCACAUCUUGACGGUACCUAAUCAGAAAGCCACGGCUAACUACGUG